CUUAAUUACAUUGAAUAUAUAGGGGAAAUCUGUAUUUUUCUUCUACAAUUUUCGGUUUCCGGUAUAAAUCACGUAAACCGCUCCAUAGAAUUUUUUUUUAAAUUAAUAUUUUCUUCCUCUUUGUCUUACGAAUUAGAUGAUGAUAAAAAAAAAUAUGGUCACCGACUUCGUUUUCCCUGUAGAAGCGACGCAAACUCAACAUUUUGGCCAAAAAACCAUCAAAAUUCGUGACGUCGUUAUUUUUAUUACAUAACGUCAAGUUAUCAUGCUAAUUAUUUCCAACGUUCUUCGUGUUGAUUAUGCACGAUUAUUAUGUGUUUCGUAUUGAUAGAUUAUUUUUAUCUGGAUAAUUAUCAUUAAUUUUUAUUUUGUAUAUUUUCCAAUAUUCUUUAUUCUUUAUAUUUAGGCACCCAAUUAUGCUCUUUUUCUUUUUUCUUUUUUUUUUUUUUUUGCCUUUUAUUCUGCAAUUUUUGCCCGUUAUUCUAUAUUCCGUUAACCCCAAUCAGACCCUCUUUUAUGGAACAUUUUAAAAAGAAAUUAUACGUUAUAAAAAAUAUGAUACAUGUAUGUUCAUUAUCAAUACACAUGUCUAAAACAAUUACUAAUUCAAACAAAAAUACAUUGUAAGUACAUGAACGCAAAAAUAGUAAAAACAUAAAAAUAGAAAUCAUCAGGUUUACUGUCUACAAUCUACAAGUUGACGCAAUAAAAGAUGUAAUUAAAGCUAUAAUUUGUUAUGCUCCCGCGACUGAAAGUUUGGGGGGGUACCCCUGUCCCUCUGUCCGCCGUCCUUCCCCUAUUAUAGUUAAUCCGCAUAACAUCUACAGUUUGAAUCCUAGAACGUUUUCACUUUGUUGUCUGUUUGAACAUAUAUUGAAGGUGUGCAUGUGGUCAGGGUUGUGAUCUUUAUUAAUAUUUGCUCUAAUGGGAGAUUGUUGAAUUUUGUCACUUUUUUGGGUAACCAAUUUGUAAAUCUCUAUAGACUAUCGUGUAGAUCAUCCAUUUUUUCUACGUUCCGAUAUAUGAUUUGGCAAAUUUUUGAAAACAAC
Molecule: long non-coding RNA, 1049 nt
Filed under: Mytilus galloprovincialis (Mediterranean mussel)
Lineage: Eukaryota; Metazoa; Mollusca; Bivalvia; Mytilida; Mytilidae
Source: RNAcentral